GAUGAACGCUGGCGGCGUGCCUAAUACAUGCAAGUAGAACGCUGAAGGAGGAGCUUGCUCUUCUGGAUGAGUUGCGAACGGGUGAGUAACGCGUAGGUAACCUGCCUGGUAGCGGGGGAUAACUAUUGGAAACGAUAGCUAAUACCGCAUGACAACAGUUAUUGCAUGAUAACUGUUUAAAAGGGGCAACUGCUCCACUACCAGAUGGACCUGCGUUGUAUUAGCUAGUUGGUGAGGUAACGGCUCACCAAGGCGACGAUACAUAGCCGAGCUGAGAGGGUGAACGGCCAAACUGGGACUGGGACACGGCCCAGACUCCUACGGGGGGCAGCAGUAGGGGAUCUUCGGAAAUGGACGGAAGGCUGACCGAGCAACGCCGCGGGAGUGAAGAAGGGUUUCGGAUCGUAAAGCUCUGUUGUAAGAGAAGAAAGAGUGUGAGAGUGGAAAGUUCACACUGUGACGGUAGCUUAACAGAAAGGGACGGCUAACUACGUG
Molecule: ribosomal RNA, 495 nt
Filed under: uncultured bacterium
Lineage: Bacteria
Description: partial 16S ribosomal RNA
Rfam family: Bacterial small subunit ribosomal RNA
Source: RNAcentral